CUUGAUGGAGCCGAGCAGCACGGGCAGGGUCCGGUCCCGGCCGUAGGUGGCCAGGACGGCCUGUGCCUC
Molecule: non-coding RNA, 69 nt
Filed under: Streptomyces sp. NRRL S-4
Lineage: Bacteria; Bacillati; Actinomycetota; Actinomycetes; Kitasatosporales; Streptomycetaceae
Source: RNAcentral